Molecule: non-coding RNA, 195 nt
Filed under: Bacteroides stercoris
Lineage: Bacteria; Pseudomonadati; Bacteroidota; Bacteroidia; Bacteroidales; Bacteroidaceae
Source: RNAcentral
CUAUCUUUGCCGGCGUUUUGUUCUGCACUCUUGUUCAGGAGGAGGAUGAAAAGGGAAUCGGGUGAAAGUCCCGGACAGUCCCGCUGCUGUAAGUUCCGUAAAAGAUGUAUUAAUACUUAUGCCACUGUUCUUGAAGAAUGGGAAGGUGAUACAUCAGGAAUAAGUCAGAAGACCUGCAAAACGAAGUCAAAAAAU